This 496-nucleotide ribosomal RNA is filed under the name uncultured bacterium. RNAcentral's name for it is "partial 16S ribosomal RNA". It matches the Rfam family "Bacterial small subunit ribosomal RNA", at positions 28 to 506 of the family's 1533-position model. The record is from RNAcentral.
GACGAACGCUGGCGGCGUGCCUAAUACAUGCAAGUUGAGCGCUGAAGGUUGGUACUUGUCCCAACUGGAUGACCAGCGGACGGGUGAGUAACGCGAGGGGACUCUGCCUUUGAGCGGGGGACAACAUUUGGAAACGAAUGCUCAUACCGCAUAAAAACUUUAAACACAAGUUUUAAGUUUGAAAGAUGCAAUUGCAUCACUUAAAGCUGAUCCCGCGUUGUAUUAGGUAGUUGGUGAGGUAAAGGCUCACCAAGGCGAUGAUACAUAGCCGACCUGAGAGGAUGAUCGGCCACACUGGAACUGAGACACGGCCCAGACUCCUACGGGAGGCAGCAGUAGGGAAUCUUCGGCAAUGGACGAAAGUCUGACCGAGCAACGCCGCGUGAGUGAAGAAGGUUUUCGGAUCGUAAAACUCUGUUGGUAGAGAAGAACGUUAGUGAGAGUGGAAAGCUCAUCAAGUGACGUUAACUACCCAGAAAGGGACGGCAAACUACUG